Molecule: long non-coding RNA, 7814 nt
Filed under: Ananas comosus (pineapple)
Lineage: Eukaryota; Viridiplantae; Streptophyta; Magnoliopsida; Poales; Bromeliaceae
Description: long non-coding RNA (ACOM_LNC002529)
Source: RNAcentral
AGAAAGGGGCAACCGAUUCAAUUAAUUAAAAAUUCAGACACAAGGCGCACAAAUCACGAUUUAUGAUUAUGUCCAAUCCACUCUCCACACCGUAGUUUGCAGACUUUAAUUGUGACUUGCCCAAUCCAACCUCCACCACAAGCUAAGAUUCAAAGUAAUAAAAUUAUAAGGGAAAUGUUCUAGUUAUAGAGACUAACUUUUAAAAUUAUAAUUUAGUAUUCAAAAACACUCUAAAAAUAAAAGUUGGUAAAUAAAACUCAGAAAAGCUAGCGAUUUAUUUACUAUGGCGUUUUAAUGUUUUAAAUAAAAGAUCUAUAAGUUUAUGCGAUCUAGUUCAGAUUGCCUUCGUCAAAGCUAAAACUUCAAUGUAGUAGUUUUUGCCGAAUCUUUGUGCUUCUGUAGGCACGAAGAUUAUUGUGUCAGGAUGAGAAAGAGGGGGAGAGAGAGAGAAAGAGAGAGAGAGAGAGAGAGAGAGAGAGAGAGAGAGAGAGAGAGAGAGAGAGAGAGAGAGAGAGAGAGAGAGAGAGAGAGAGAGAGAGAGAGAUAUAUAUAUAUAUAUAUAUAUAUAUAUAGAUAUGAUUUGAUACUUAAGAGUUAUUAAAACGACUGCACCGUACAAGAGGAAUUAAACUUAAAAAAAUUAAAAAACUACAUAUAAAAGAGAGAGAAGAUGGUGCCGUGUAGGAGAGUAGAGACCAAACGCGGAAGAAUAGAGGGGUUUGGCGUGCAGGCGAGUAGAGGGAAGAGGGCUUAAAAAAAAAAAAAAAAGUAGAAAAUCGGAAGUGCAGGGGGGUAGAGGCCAAACCUACAAAUAUUAAACCCUUUUGAAGUUUGUUUGGGGACACCAAAGCGUGAAAAAGUAAAAUCACAGUACACUAAAUUUUACAUAGUUCAAUCAUGGGACACCAAAGCGUGAAAGAGGAAAAUCAUAGAAUAUCAAAUAUCACAUAGUUCAAUCAUGAGACAUAAAAAUAAAAAUAUGGUUCAAUCAUGGAACACCAAAAUAAAAAUAUAGUUCAAUCAUAUGACACCAAAAUAAAAAGAGAAUUAUUUGAUAAUUUGGUGUCCCAUGAUUUCACUCUUUCACGCUUUGGUAUCCCAUGAUUGAGCUAUGUGAAAUUUGGUGUUCCAUGAUUUCACUCUUUUUCACUUUGGUGUUCUUCCCAUAAAUUUCANNNNNNNNNNNNNNNNNNNNNNNNNCGAGCAUAAGCCAAGCUUUACUCGAGUUCUAGCCGAGCGAUCAAAUCAUUUGCUCGGCUUGUGCUCGACUUAAAAAGUCGAGCAAAUUAUUUGCUCGGCUUGUGCUCGAUCCCAGUCAAGCGAGCACAAGCCGAACUAUUGUCGAGCUUAUGUAUAUAAAUGACUCGCGAAUAGCGAGCUGGAUUGCCACCCCUAGUAUGUACAAAGUCGGGAAUGACGUUGGUAUGUUUAUACAUUGGGCUAGCAACAAGUGGGCCCCACUUUUGUCGACAUCUGCAUUAAACUACUGUAUUGCGAUGCGAUAUGGUAUGAUGUUAGUUGCUUGUUCGAAACCCUGGAAAAAAAAACCUUUUUAGAUUCCCCCAGUAGGUUUCCAAGAGUAGCAAAAGAUAUUCAGUACAUUUUUAUCCUGAGAGUAGCCAAACGUAUUUUAUUUAAUACACUAUCGUGCAAUAAAUGAAGACAUCGUAGUAAAGCAAUUUCCAGACGCCCCGAUGAGCACCACGUGGCACGAGCUCCAUGAGGGGAGUUUUUUUGGGUGCACAUGGUGCACUAUUUUUUACUUUAAAUUUUCUUUAUUUUUUAAUUAAUAAUUUAAUAUAAUAAUAUUAUAUAUAUUAAGAUUAAAAAAAUUUAAGACUAUAGUUUAAAAAUUAAGACUAUAAUUUACAUUUUAAAUUUUAAAAUUAAAGUUUUAAAAUUUUAAAUUCCUAAAUUUUCAAAAUUUAAAAUUUCAGAAUUUUCCUUGAAUUUUAAUUUAAAAAUCUAAAAUUUAAAUUUUAAAAUUUAAAAUCUGACUCUCGAAAUUUAAAAAUAAAAAUUUUAAAUUUCAAAAAAUUUUCAAAUUAAGAUGUAAAUUUUAAAUUUUAAACUUAAAAAUCGGAUUUAUUAAAAGUAAUUGAAAACUUUAAAUGGGAUGUGAUGGGUGAUAGUGUUGUGAUGUGACAAGCUUAAAGAGGGAGACUAGCAUUGCUUAAAGUUCAAAAGCUUUAAAAAUUUAAAAUCUGUAGUUUGAAAAUUAAGACGAAUUACUUUUACAUUUUAAAAUUUAUAAUUUUAAGUUUUAAAUUUUAAUUUUAAAAUUUUUAAAUUUUAAAUUUUAAAUUUUUUUCUGAAUUUUAAGUGAAAAAUAUAUAAUUUUAAAUUAUAAAAAUUUAAAAUGUGAAGCUGGAAAUUUAAAAUAAAAAUUUGAAAUUUCGAAUUUUUCAAAUUUUAACCUGUAAAAUUAAAAUUUUAAAUUUUAAAAUUUAAAAAUAAAAUUGGAACGCGAUUGGAUGUGAUGUGGUGACAUGACGUGCGCCUGUGCAAUCAGACUCCAACAACGGGAGGUUUAAUUUUGAAUUCUAAAAAUUUAAAAUUUGUAAUUUUAAAAUUAAGAAAAAAUUUAAAACUUUUAAGUUCUCAAUUUUAAAUUUUAUAAUUUCCUAAUUUCAAUUUUUUCUUGAAUAUUAAGCUAAAAUAUAAAAUUCUUAAUUUUAAAUUUUAAAAUUUGAGAUAUGAUAUUUAAAAAUUAAAUUAUGAAAUUAAGACAUUAAGAUCUAAAUUUUAAAUUUUUAAAAUUUGUUUCAAAAUUUAGACAGAACUUAAGAUUUAACAUUAAUAUUUGAAUUUAGAUUUAAAAUUUAAACAUAAAAUUAAAAUCAAAUUCAAAAUACAAAAUUUAAAAGUUUAAAAUAUUUUAAAACCAAAAUGCAUAAAACAAUUCUAAAAAAAAUCCCAAAAAGUAAAAUGUUUUACAAAAUAAACUAAAAAGAAAAGACCCAAAAAAAUAAAUUAGUUUGCAAAAAUAAAUGAAUAAAAAAAGAAAAAAAAAGGGAAUAAUUUCAUAGAUGCCCUUUUAGUAACCAUUAAUUUUAUCAAUACCCUUCUAAAUUUGAUAAUAUCACAAAUACCCUCCAAUAUGUUAAAAAUUAUAAUAAAUGCCCUCCAUUAGUUAAAAUCCGUUAAGGCCCAUGUGAAACGGAGUUAAAUUUUUAAUAUACCAAUUUUAGCCCUUAUCUCUUAUUAAUAGUAGAAAUACUAAUAGGUAUUUCAAUGCAAUUUUUGUAAAUCUAAAUUUGAGUGUUUAAUAUAUAUACAUAUUAAAUUAAAUCAUUAAUAUAUAUUAAUUAUAGAUUUUAUUCCUAAUUAGUAAAUUACAUAACUAUAUAAUUAUCAAUUUAUAUUCCUAAUCAGUAUUAGUAAUUUUGAAAUAAAUUAUAGAUUUUAUUUUUUUCCUAUUUAAGCAAAAGUAAAUUACAUAACUAUAUGCAUGCAUUGUUGUGUCGAUUGAAAUAAAAAAAGAGUUUUGUUCGAAAACUAAAAUAUAUUAUAUUUCAGUUUUUUAAUGCAUUUAAUACAAAUAAAAUUAUCAAGAAUAAUUUUAAUUAAAAAAAUUUUAAGCUUUCAAGAUUAAAGAAAGAUCGAAUAAUUCCUUAACAUUAUUUGCAUUUAAAUUUUUAUAUAUAAUUAUUUUAUUUGAUAAAAUAUAAAUAGAGCCAUUAGAUUUGGUGAAAUUAUCAAAAACAUAAAAAUUCACAUUUUUUCAUACACUGAAAUUAGUUAAUUUUUUUAAAAACUAAAAGUUAAUGGGAUAUCAACUAAAAAAUGAAAGUUGAGUGAGCUGUUUGCAAAUAGCAUAAAGUUAAGGGGGCUCCAUAUAUUUUUACUUAAGAGAAACUUGAGGGUAAAUAAGUCAUUUUAAAAGAUAACCCAUCUUUAACCAUUUAAUAACUGUGGUAAAACUAACAUAACUAACAGUAGGAGUAUUGAUGAUAAUUUUCUAUAUUUACAGGGGUGUAGGAGAUAUUCUAGCAGGAUUUGAAACUAAGGAAAAAUUCUAGAAUGCAAACGGAUAUAUUGGUAAAGUGGCGUAAUAAACUAAUCAAAUAUUUCCUUUUAUGAAUAUAUGUUGGAUCAUGAUUGUAAAAAAAUAUUUUUAUUGCACUUUUGUUUGAAAUGAAGAAUUGUGAUUGGCUUGUUAUUGAUGACGUGGUGCAAGUGUGACAGUAUAGAAUUUCUCAAAACCAAGACGGUUUGGCAUGCUGUCUUUACCAAUACACCUUACACCAAGUGGGCACCUCAACACUUUCAGGGACGAAACUCGGAUUCAAUCUUGAGGGGGACCAAAAUAUAUUUAAAUAGAAACUUUAGUAAUAAAUAAUAAAAAAAAAUUUCAUAAUUAAAAAUUUUUAUUAAAAAAUUAUUAAUUAGAUAAAUAAUGUAAAAGUAUGAACUGUAUUUUUUUUAUUUUUAGAUGUUUAACUUCUAAUUAUUUUAUUUAUAUUAUUACAUUAAAAUAAGUUAGAAAUUUUACUAAAUCUAACAGUAAUUUUUUAGUUUUUUAGUAAAUAAAAUUAACAUAGCUAUUAAAUUUAGUACAAUUCUUGAUCUAGUCAAAUAAAAUAGCUCACCUAAGAUAAAUAAAAGUUUUAAAAAAUUAUUAAAUAACAUUUUUAUAGUAGAGAAAUAUAUUACAAAAGACUCUAUAAGCAAGAAACUUUUAAUAUAUUUUAACCCAUAAAAUAGUAUACCGAUUAGGAGAAAGAGAGAGAGUGUUGGCACCAUACUAUUAAGUAAAUAUUCAAAAAUUAGAGGGGCUAAAAGCUAUCCAUGAUCUACCAAAAAAAAAUUUUGAAGGACCAUUAAGCAAAUAUUGAAAAGUUGAGGAGGGUCAAAGCUAUUUAUGGUCUACCAGAAAAAAAUUUUGAAAGACCAUUAAGUAAAUAUCGAAAAGUUGAGGGGGGCCAUGGCCACCUUAGGCCUCUACAUAGCUUCGUCCCUAGACAGUUUGAUACAACGUGUUAAAUCUUUUAACUAUGCUAUUUGAUGCAUUCUGCAAGAUCCACGUGGCAUACCUUCUCGUUCUUCGUUCCACGUGGCGACAGGCCUCUCACCCAACUCUACAAGUGGCUUUCUCUCUCUUCCCUAUUCUUCUACAGCUGUCUCUCUCUCUCUUCAGCUACCACAUUUUUCUCUCUCUCUCUUCCCUCCCCCAUCUGCCUAUCUGGCUCUGCUCCUCUCCCUCUCUCCGACCCUCUCUUUCUCUCUCUUCCCCUUUCUCUCUCUUACUCUCUCUCUUUCUCUCUCUUUCCUUCUCUUUUUCUCUCUCUUCCUCUCUCUCUUUCUUUCACUCUUUCUCUCUCUUCCUCUCUCUCUUUCUCUCUUUCUUUCUCUACAAAAUUUAUUCCAUUCUUAUCCCCUCCAAAGCUCUAUAAAUAGCUCGGAGUAGGCGAUCGGAGGAGAGGGGAGGGCGGUGCGAGAGGGGAGAGUUCACACCCAGGUUGCACAUUGCAUUAAAAAAAUAAAAAAAAAUGAAGAAGAAGAAGAUGGGAGCUAAAAAUAAAUAAGUAUAUAUAUAUAUAUAUAUAUAUAUAUAUAUAUAUAUAUAUAUAUAUAUAUAUAUAUAUAUAUAGAGUCCGGCCUACUAUACUAUUAUGAGUACGAUUGCCCUCGUACUCAUAAGUUGUUUUCGAUGAUAGAGCUUCUAAAUCGACGAUCCACACCGUUAAAUGUUAUCUAGAGCAUUUGAAACAUCUAGAUCAAAUUUCAAAAUUUUUUGACAUCCUUUACCUUACGAUCAAAAGCUCACAAAAUUGACAAUUUUUAACGGCCGGUAUGGAAUACUUGCUAAUUUAACGGUGCAAAAGAAUCCGAAUAGGUUGAAUUUUUGAUAGAAAAUUCUAUUCACUAACUAGAUAAAAGAUCAAUAACUCCGAUCUUAAAUUGAAGGAUCCGAUCAUCCAUUUUUAAGAUAUCGUUCGAUUUUGACCGUUCAUUUUAUGCCCGUUUGAUGGACUUUAUUAUGAUUUCGAAAAAUUACGAAAUUUAUUUUCUAGAAGUUUCAAAUACUCUAGAUCAUAUUUAAUGGAGUGGAUCAUCGAUUCAGAAACUCCAUCAUCGAAAACAACUUAUGAGUAUGAAGGGCCUAAUACUCAUAAUAGUAUAGUAGCCCUACUAUAUAUAUAUAUAUNAUGCAUUUAUAUAAUUGCUGCUAUUGAAAGCUAAAAUAUAAGUGGGAUGAAACCAGUUUUAAGUGGUGUUGGAUUGUUUUCACUAACUACUCAUUCGAAAAACUCUUGAGUUCUUAGAAAGUAACAGCUAAUUUAUUUAAGCGUACAAAUACAGUGCUCAUAAAAUCUCGAUUUGUUACUCGACCCAACCAAGUUGUCGCCACGUAGUCCGCUGGCAGCCCAGAGAUUCUGAUUGUGAUUCGGCCAAAUAAACCUUCUUCACAAGACAGAAUGCUAGCCUCUUCAAACCAACAAUCAGGGACGAAGCUAGGAUUCAAUUUUGAGGAGGGCCAAAAUAUAUUUAAAUAGAAACUUUAGUAAUAAAUAAUAAAAAAAAAUUUCAUAAUUAAAAAUUUUUAUUAAAAAAUUAUUAAUUAGAUAAAUAAUGUAAAAGUAUGAACUUUAUUUUUUUUUUAGAUGUUUAACUUCUAAUUAUUUUAUUUAUAUUAUUAUAUUAAAAUAACUUAGAAAUUUUACUAAAUCUAACAGUAAUUUUUUAAUUUUUUAGUAAAUAAAAUUAACAUAGCUAUUAAAUUUAGUACAAUUCUUGAUCUAGUCAAAUAAAAUAGCUCACCUAAGAUAAAUAAAAGUUUUAAAAAUUAUUACAUAACAUUUUUAUAGUAGAGAAAUAUAUUACAAAAGACUCUAUAAGUAAGAAACUUUUAAUAUAUUUUUACCCAUAAAAAAGUAUACCGAUCAGGAGAAAGAGAGAGAGAGUGUUAGCACCAUACUAUUAAGUAAAUAUUCAAAAAUUAGGGGGGCUAAAAGCUAUCCAUGGUCUACCAAAAAAAAAUUUUGAAGGACCAUUAAGCAAAUAUUGAAAAGUUGAGGGGGGUCAAAGCUAUCCAUGGUCCACCAAAAAAAAUUUUUGAAGGACCAUUAAGCAAAUAUCGAAAAGUUGAGGGGGGCUAUGGCCACCUUGGGCCUCUACAUAGUUUCGUCCCUGCCAACAAUUAUGCCUAGUAGCGCACAUAAUUUGCAGUAUGUGAAAAUCGAACUUGCGACAUACUCUGAUACCACUCAUUGGACCAUUGGAGCUAACUACUAAUUCUAAAAGCUCAAGAAAGAAGAAAGGGGCAACCGAUUCACUUAAUUAAAAAUUCAGACACAAGGCGCACAAAUCUCGAUUUAUGAUUCUGUCCAAUCCGCUCUCCACACCGUAGUUUGCAGACUUUAAUUGUGACUUGCCCAAUCCAACCUCCACCACAAGCUAAGAUUCAAAGUAAUAAAAUUAUAAGGGAAAACUUCAAAUACCCUCCUUGUGGUUUCACUUUUUCUCACUUUAGUAUCCUGUGGUUUAAAGUGUAUCGAGUUAGUACCCUGUGGUUUCGUACUUUCUCACUUUAGUACCCUGUGGUUUAAUAUUUCAUUAAGAGAAAAAUAAAACCACAGUGUACUAACUUGAUAUAAAAAUAAAACCACAAGGUACUAACUUGAUAUAAAAAUAAAAACACAGAGUACUAACUUGAUACACUAUAAACUACAGAAUACUAAAAGAAGAAAGUGCGAAACGACGGGAUACUAACUUGAUACAUUUUAAACCACAUGGCACUAAAAUGAAAAAGUGCGAAACCACAUGGUCAAUUUUGAAGUUUUCCCAAAUUAUAAACAUCCAAACGGUCU